RNAcentral lists this ribosomal RNA (490 nucleotides) under uncultured bacterium. RNAcentral's name for it is "partial 16S ribosomal RNA". It matches the Rfam family "Bacterial small subunit ribosomal RNA", at positions 30 to 507 of the family's 1533-position model. The record is from RNAcentral.
AUUGAACGCUGGCGGCAGGCCUAACACAUGCAAGUCGAACGGUAACAGGAAGAAGCUUGCUUCUUUGCUGACGAGUGGCGGACGGGUGAGUAAUGUCUGGGAAACUGCCUGAUGGAGGGGGGUAACUACUGGAAACGGUUGCUAAUACCGCAUAACGUCGCAAGACCAAAGAGGGGGACCUUCGGGCCUCUUGCCAUCGGAUGUGCCCAGAUGGGAUUAGCUAGUAGGUGGGGUAACGGCUCACCUAGGCGACGAUCCCUAGCUGGUCUGAGAGGAUGACCAGCCACACUGGAACUGAGACACGGUCCAGACUCCUACGGGAGGCAGCAGUGGGGAAUAUUGCACAAUGGGCGCAAGCCUGAUGCAGCCAUGCCGCGUGUAUGAAGAAGGCCUUCGGGUUGUAAAGUACUUUCAGCGGGGAGGAAGGGAGUAAAGUUAAUACCUUGGCUCAUUGACGUUACCCGCAGAAGAAGCACCGGCUAACUCCGUG